RNAcentral lists this ribosomal RNA (400 nucleotides) under uncultured bacterium. RNAcentral describes it as "bacterial SSU rRNA". It matches the Rfam family "Bacterial small subunit ribosomal RNA", at positions 43 to 439 of the family's 1533-position model. The record is from RNAcentral.
CAGGCCUAACACAUGCAAGUCGAACGGUAGCACAGAGGAGCUUGCUCCUUGGGUGACGAGUGGCGGACGGGUGAGUAAUGUCUGGGAAACUGCCCGAUGGAGGGGGAUAACUACUGGAAACGGUAGCUAAUACCGCAUAACGUCUUCGGACCAAAGUGGGGGACCUUCGGGCCUCACACCAUCGGAUGUGCCCAGAUGGGAUUAGCUAGUAGGUGGGGUAAUGGCUCACCUAGGCGACGAUCCCUAGCUGGUCUGAGAGGAUGACCAGCCACACUGGAACUGAGACACGGUCCAGACUCCUACGGGAGGCAGCAGUGGGGAAUAUUGCACAAUGGGCGCAAGCCUGAUGCAGCCAUGCCGCGUGUAUGAAGAAGGCCUUCGGGUUGUAAAGUACUUUCAG